RNAcentral lists this ribosomal RNA (920 nucleotides) under Stenotrophomonas indicatrix. Its description in RNAcentral is "partial 23S ribosomal RNA". It matches the Rfam family "Bacterial large subunit ribosomal RNA", at positions 1 to 978 of the family's 2925-position model. Lineage: Bacteria; Pseudomonadati; Pseudomonadota; Gammaproteobacteria; Lysobacterales; Lysobacteraceae. The record is from RNAcentral.
GGUCAAGCGAAUAAGCGCACACGGUGGAUGCCUUGGCGGUCAGAGGCGAUGAAGGACGUGGCAGCCUGCGAAAAGUAUCGGGGAGCUGGCAACAAGCUUUGAUCCGGUAAUGUCCGAAUGGGGAAACCCACCCGCUUGCGGGUAUCCUGCAGUGAAUACAUAGCUGCUGGAAGCGAACCUGGUGAACUGAAAUAUCUAAGUAACCAGAGGAAAAGAAAUCAACCGAGAUUCCGUAAGUAGCGACGAGCGAACGCGGACUAGCCCUUAAGCUGAUUUGGUUCUAGGAAAAUGCUCUGGAAAGAGCGGCCAUAGAAGGUGAUAGCCCUGUAUCUGAAAGGGCCAUUUCAGUGAAGACGAGUAGGGCGGGGCACGUGAAACCCUGUCUGAACAUGGGGGGACCAUCCUCCAAGGCUAAAUACUACUGACCGACCGAUAGUGAACCAGUACCGUGAGGGAAAGGCGAAAAGAACCCCGGAGAGGGGAGUGAAAUAGAUCCUGAAACCGUGUGCGUACAAGCAGUAGGAGCCUCGCAAGGGGUGACUGCGUACCUUUUGUAUAAUGGGUCAGCGACUUACUGUUCGUGGCAAGCUUAACCGUAUAGGGGAGGCGAAGGGAAACCGAGUCUGAUAAGGGCGCAUAGUCGCGGGCAGUAGACCCGAAACCGGGUGAUCUAGUCAUGGCCAGGGUGAAGGUGCCGUAACAGGUACUGGAGGCCCGAACCCACGUCUGUUGCAAAAGACGGGGAUGAGCUGUGAUUAGGAGUGAAAAGCUAAUCGAACCCGGAGAUAGCUGGUUCUCCUCGAAAGCUAUUUAGGUAGCGCCUCAUAUGUAUCCUCUCGGGGGUAGAGCACUGUUAUGGCUAGGGGGUCAUCGCGACUUACCAAACCAUUGCAAACUCCGAAUACCGAGACGGACUGUAU